GACGAACGCUGGCGGCGUGCCUAAUACAUGCAAGUUGAGCGCUGAAGGUUGGUACUUGUACCAACUGGAUGAGCAGCGAACGGGUGAGUAACGCGUGGGGAAUCUGCCUUUGAGCGGGGGACAACAUUUGGAAACGAAUGCUAAUACCGCAUAAAAACUUUAAACACAAGUUUUAAGUUUGAAAGAUGCAAUUGCAUCACUCAAAGAUGAUCCCGCGUUGUAUUAGCUAGUUGGUGAGGUAAAGGCUCACCAAGGCGAUGAUACAUAGCCGACCUGAGAGGGUGAUCGACCACAUUGGGACUGAGACACGGCCCAAACUCCUACGGGAGGCAGCAGUAGGGAAUCUUCGGCAAUGGACGAAAGUCUGACCGAGCAACGCCGCGUGAGUGAAGAAGGGUUUCGGAUCGUAAAACUCUGUUGGUAGAGAAGAACGUUGGUGAGAGUGGAAAGCUCAUCAAGUGACGGUAACUACCCAGAAAGGGACGGCUAACUACGUG
Molecule: ribosomal RNA, 497 nt
Filed under: uncultured bacterium
Lineage: Bacteria
Description: partial 16S ribosomal RNA
Rfam family: Bacterial small subunit ribosomal RNA
Source: RNAcentral